AAAUUGAAGAGUUUGAUCAUGGCUCAGAUUGAACGCUGGCGGCAGGCCUAACACAUGCAAGUCGAACGGUAACAGGAAGCAGCUUGCUGAUUCGCUGACGAGUGGCGGACGGGUGAGUAAUGUCUGGGAAACUGCCUGAUGGAGGGGGAUAACUACUGGAAACGGUAGCUAAUACCGCAUAAUGUCGCAAGACCAAAGAGGGGGACCUUCGGGCCUCUUGCCAUCGGAUGUGCCCAGAUGGGAUUAGCUAGUAGGUGGGGUAACGGCUCA
Molecule: ribosomal RNA, 270 nt
Filed under: Escherichia coli
Lineage: Bacteria; Pseudomonadati; Pseudomonadota; Gammaproteobacteria; Enterobacterales; Enterobacteriaceae
Description: partial 16S ribosomal RNA
Rfam family: Bacterial small subunit ribosomal RNA
Source: RNAcentral